This is a long non-coding RNA of Cyprinus carpio carpio, 1105 nucleotides long. The record is from Ensembl. NCBI's taxonomy places the organism in Eukaryota, Metazoa, Chordata, Actinopteri, Cypriniformes, Cyprinidae.
AGAGACUCAGGAGUUUAACUCUGACGAAGCUCCUAAAUAUCCUAAAACUCAAACUGACCCAAAUGUGACAUGUACUUGCGUUCGGUUCUCAGGAGAAAGAUCUGGGGCGCUGGUUUUCUAGGAGGAAGAACUGAGAUGUUGAUCUGUGGUUUUCGUUCCAGGGUUUUGUGUCGUGGGAAAUGAAGCAUGUGGCUUUAAUGGCACCCUUGUGGGCGUCUGAUUCGGGGUCAGCUGUCACACCUUUUUAGAGUGACAUUUCUAAAGUGUGCCGUGACUGAAUUACACUAAAAAUAUCUUCAUUUGGGGUGUUAUUCUGUUACUUUUUAUAAAACUGAUAGAAAGCAUCUCUGCCGAUGUCAGAAGUGGUUCAGGAGAGGGAAACGUUGGCAGUGAUGGUGACAUCUGAUACUGUUUUGACGGCAGGAGAUCCUCUGUGAAUCACUGAUCUGAGACCUGCACUGACUCAUGGGUCUUUCUGCCGUCCUGUUUGGAAUGAGCUCUGGAGAUACUUUCACUCAGAAGUGGCUCUGUAUGAAAGCUCGGUGGGCGUCUCUGGAGACAACAGCUGCAGACUUUAACAAGCAGACCAGCGCCGGUAUAUCACACUCUAAAAAUGCAACAAUGAAGACACAUAAUCCCAUAAGGACUGAACUGUGAUUGCCAUUAAGUGAUCCAUUAUUUUACAGUGAAUUUGGGCCUGGACUUGACUGGCCUCACAUGCCUCUUCAGCCAUUUGUCCCCUUGCAGGGAUUCUUGGGACGGGAUGCUGGAAGUUAAUGGACACAAUGCUCAACGACUCGUUUCAGGGGAAUUAUUAAGUUUACCCACAAAACCAGUACAAAUAACUCAGCGCUGACCUGCCGGAUGGCUUUGGAAGGGCAACCUCCCAGAGGGACGGCGUUGGGAGCUUAAUUAGAAUGUCAGGAGACACUUUCAAAGAAGUGUGAGAUGAGAGUCCACUCCAAUGGGAAACCUGAGCCGAUCGUCUUUCCCAGUUCAAGGAAAACUGUUGAAUGGGAUCAGACACAAGGAAUCACAGCAAAGACAGGAAGCAGUGAAGAGCAGAGGAUGUGUUUUUGGUGAGCACUUCAUCUGUGUAUCUCAG